RNAcentral lists this transfer RNA (72 nucleotides) under Camelus bactrianus (Bactrian camel). It matches the Rfam family "tRNA". From Rfam's summary of the family: Transfer RNA (tRNA) molecules are approximately 80 nucleotides in length. Their secondary structure includes four short double-helical elements and three loops (D, anti-codon, and T loops). RNAcentral also lists the same sequence under 2 other names. Lineage: Eukaryota; Metazoa; Chordata; Mammalia; Artiodactyla; Camelidae. The record is from Rfam by way of RNAcentral.
GAGGGUAUAGCUCAGUGGUAGAGCUCAUGCCUAGUGUGCAUGAGGUCCUGGGUUCAAUCCCCAGUACCUCCA